This 253-nucleotide ribosomal RNA is filed under the name uncultured bacterium. Its description in RNAcentral is "partial 16S ribosomal RNA". It matches the Rfam family "Bacterial small subunit ribosomal RNA", at positions 524 to 776 of the family's 1533-position model. The record is from RNAcentral.
UACGUAGGGUGCGAGCGUUGUCCGGAAUUAUUGGGCGUAAGGGGCUCGUAGGCGGUUUGUCGCGUCGGGAGUAAAAACCUUGGGCUUAACUCAGGGCUUGCUUUCGAUACGGGCAGACUAGAGGUAUGCAGGGGAGAACGGAAUUCCUGGUGUAGCGGUGAAAUGCGCAGAUAUCAGGAGGAACACCGGUGGCGAAGGCGGUUCUCUGGGCAUGAUCUGACGCUGAGGAGCGAAAGUGUGGGGAGCGAACAGG